GCGGCUGUAGUUUAGUGGUAAAACCUCUGCCUUCCAAGCAGGUGUCGAGGGUUCGAUUCCCUCCAGCCGCACCA
Molecule: transfer RNA, 74 nt
Filed under: Verrucomicrobiota bacterium
Lineage: Bacteria; Pseudomonadati; Verrucomicrobiota
Also listed under: 1 other name
Description: Verrucomicrobia bacterium (activated sludge metagenome) tRNA-Gly
Rfam family: tRNA
About the family: Transfer RNA (tRNA) molecules are approximately 80 nucleotides in length. Their secondary structure includes four short double-helical elements and three loops (D, anti-codon, and T loops).
Source: RNAcentral